RNAcentral lists this non-coding RNA (21 nucleotides) under Caenorhabditis elegans. Lineage: Eukaryota; Metazoa; Nematoda; Chromadorea; Rhabditida; Rhabditidae. The record is from RNAcentral.
UAAGAUCGCAGUUGAACAUUU